UGUGUUGCUUUCAUUUAUAACAAGUGUGAGUGUGUUUAAGUGUUUCAAGUGUGUGGUGUUAGCAAUAAAUUCUUACCUAAUCCAAUAACAACCAAGCAUUGAUCACAUUAGGGUAGUACAUUUGAUUAGACAGUCCUAAUUAAAGCUAACUACCAAGAUACUAGACUCUACCAAGCAUUGAUCACUUAAGUAAAUUAAAGCUAACUACCAAGAGUGUUAGGUACGACCAAUAUUAAGAGUGUUGAGACAUAUACCGAAGAUAAGGUGUGAUCUAAAACAAACCUGAUUUAGUUGCUUCAGACAUUCCUUUGAGCUUUAAUCGUC
This 324-nucleotide long non-coding RNA is filed under the name Brassica napus (rape). RNAcentral's name for it is "long non-coding RNA (BNAP_LNC011274)". Lineage: Eukaryota; Viridiplantae; Streptophyta; Magnoliopsida; Brassicales; Brassicaceae. The record is from RNAcentral.